CAAUAGCGUAUAUUAAAGUUGUUGCGGUUAAAAAGCUCGUAGUUGGAUUUCUGUUGAGAGCAGCCGGUCUGCACUUGGUGCAUGUAUCUGGUUUGAUCUCGGCAUCCUCUCAAAAUACGUUUCUGCGCUUGAUUGCGUGGAGCGGAGUUUGGGACUUUUACUUUGAGGAAAUUAGAGUGUUCACGGCAGGCAAUCGCCUUGAAUAUAUUAGCAUGGAAUAAUAAUAUAGGAUCUUGGUUCUAUUUUGUUGGUUUCUAGAGCUAAGAUAAUGAUUAAUAGGGACAAUUGGGGGCAUUCGUAUUAACGCGUCAGAGGUGGAAUUCUUGGAUUUGUUAAAGACGGACUACUGCGAAAGCAUUUGCCAAGGAUGUUUUCAUUGA
This 380-nucleotide ribosomal RNA is filed under the name uncultured eukaryote. RNAcentral describes it as "partial 18S ribosomal RNA". It matches the Rfam family "Eukaryotic small subunit ribosomal RNA", at positions 592 to 976 of the family's 1831-position model. The record is from RNAcentral.